Molecule: ribosomal RNA, 254 nt
Filed under: uncultured bacterium
Lineage: Bacteria
Description: partial 16S ribosomal RNA
Rfam family: Bacterial small subunit ribosomal RNA
Source: RNAcentral
UACGGGGGGGGCAAGCGUUGUUCGGAAUUACUGGGCGUAAAGGGCGCGUAGGCGGUCGUGACAAGUCACUUGUGAAAUCUCCGGGCUUAACUCGGAACGGUCAAGUGAUACUGUCGGACUAGAGUACAGAAGGGGCAACUGGAAUUCUCGGUGUAGCGGUGAAAUGCGUAGAUAUCGAGAGGAACACCUGCGGCGAAGGCGGGUUGCUGGGCUGACACUGACGCUGAUGCGCGAAAGCCAGGGGAGCGAACGGG